RNAcentral lists this ribosomal RNA (493 nucleotides) under uncultured bacterium. RNAcentral's name for it is "partial 16S ribosomal RNA". It matches the Rfam family "Bacterial small subunit ribosomal RNA", at positions 29 to 523 of the family's 1533-position model. The record is from RNAcentral.
AUUGAACGCUGGCGGCAUGCUUUACACAUGCAAGUCGAACGGUAACAGGUUAAGCUGACGAGUGGCGAACGGGUGAGUAAUGCAUCGGAACGUGCCCGGUCGUGGGGGAUAACGCAGCGAAAGCUGCGCUAAUACCGCAUACGAUCUGAGGAUGAAAGCGGGGGACCGUAAGGCCUCGCGCGAUCGGAGCGGCCGAUGUCAGGUUAGGUAGUUGGUGGGGUAAAGGCUCACCAAGCCAACGAUCUGUAGCUGGUCUGAGAGGACGACCAGCCACACUGGGACUGAGACACGGCCCAGACUCCUACGGGAGGCAGCAGUGGGGAAUUUUGGGCAAUGGGCGAAAGCCUGAUCCAGCAAUGCCGCGUGCAGGAAGAAGGCCUUCGGGUUGUAAACUGCUUUUGUACGGAGCGAAAAGGUCUCCUCUAAUACAGGGGGCUCAUGACGGUACCGUAAGAAUAAGCACCGGCUAACUACGUGCCAGCCGCCGCAGUAA